RNAcentral lists this unclassified non-coding RNA (277 nucleotides) under air metagenome. RNAcentral describes it as "partial contains small subunit ribosomal RNA, internal transcribed spacer 1, and 5.8S ribosomal RNA". The stretch from base 1 to 46 matches the Rfam family "Eukaryotic small subunit ribosomal RNA", at positions 1786 to 1831 of the family's 1831-position model. The record is from RNAcentral.
AAGUCGUAACAAGGUUUCCGUAGGUGAACCUGCGGAAGGAUCAUUACUGAGUUGAACUGGGUUGUUGCUGGCCUCCCGAGGCAUGUGCACGCCCUACUCAAUCCAUCUUACCCCUGUGCACUUCUGAAGGUUGCUAGUCUCCCUCUGUAACGGAGGAGCAGCGGUUCACACUGCUGAGGCUGCACCUUCCUUUACACAAACUCUAUAAAGUAACAGAAUGUCAUCUUGCUAUAAUGCAAACUAAAUACAACUUUCAACAACGGAUCUCUUGGCUCUC